This 636-nucleotide ribosomal RNA is filed under the name Hepatozoon felis. Its description in RNAcentral is "SSU rRNA". It matches the Rfam family "Eukaryotic small subunit ribosomal RNA", at positions 199 to 823 of the family's 1831-position model. The record is from RNAcentral. Lineage: Eukaryota; Apicomplexa; Hepatozoidae.
AGAUGCAUUUAUUAGAUAAAAAACCAAUACAUGCUUUUAAAGUAUGGAAUUUGGUGAUUUACAAUAACUUAGCAAAUCGCAUAGUGAAAACAGGCGAUAAAUCAUUCAAGUUUCUGACCUAUCAGCUUUCGACGGUAUGGUAUUGGCUUACCGUGGCAGUGACGGUUAACGGGGGAUUAGGGUUCGAUUCCGGAGAGGGAGCCUGAGAAACGGCUACCACAUCUAAGGAAGGCAGCAGGCGCGCAAAUUACCCAAUUCUAACAGCAUAAGAGAGGUAGUGACAAGAAAUAACAAUACAAGGCAGUUAAAAUGCUUUGUAAUUGGAAUGAUAGAAAUUUAAACACUUUUUAAAGUAUCAAUUGGAGGGCAAGUCUGGUGCCAGCAGCCGCGGUAAUUCCAGCUCCAAUAGCGUAUAUUAAAAUUGUUGCAGUUAAAAAGCUCGUAGUUGAAUUUCUGCUAAAAAUAACCGGUCUGCUUUUAAUAAAGGUGGUAUCUUGGUGUGUUUUUAGCAAUAAUGUCCUUUGAAAUGUUUAUUACUUCAUUGUAAUAAAUUAUUUUCAGGAUUUUUACUUUGAGAAAAUUAGAGUGUUUCUAGCAGGCUAACGCUUUGAAUACUGCAGCAUGGAAUAAUAAGAA